GAUGAACGCUGGCGGCGUGCCUAAUACAUGCAAGUCGAGCGAACAGACGAGGAGCUUGCUCCUCUGACGUUAGCGGCGGACGGGUGAGUAACACGUGGAUAACCUACCUAUAAGACUGGGAUAACUUCGGGAAACCGGAGCUAAUACCGGAUAAUAUAUUGAACCGCAUGGUUCAAUAGUGAAAGACGGUUUUGCUGUCACUUAUAGAUGGAUCCGCGCCGCAUUAGCUAGUUGGUAAGGUAACGGCUUACCAAGGCAACGAUGCGUAGCCGACCUGAGAGGGUGAUCGGCCACACUGGAACUGAGACCCGUUCCAGACUCCUACGGAGGCAGCAGUAGGGAAUCUUCCGCAAUGGGCGAAAGCCUGACGGAGCAACGCCGCGUGAGUGAUGAAGGUCUUCGGAUCGUAAAACUCUGUUAUUAGGGAAGAACAAAUGUGUAAGUAACUAUGCACGUCUUGACGGUACCUAAUCAGAAAGCCACGGCUAACUACGUG
This 496-nucleotide ribosomal RNA is filed under the name uncultured bacterium. RNAcentral describes it as "partial 16S ribosomal RNA". It matches the Rfam family "Bacterial small subunit ribosomal RNA", at positions 28 to 507 of the family's 1533-position model. The record is from RNAcentral.